Scylla paramamosain (green mud crab) is the source of this 1744-nucleotide RNA transcript. It is a transcript of the gene named myosin light chain 1, with no coding region annotated. The record is from RefSeq and is a predicted model, not a curated record. The transcript is spliced from 7 exons. Lineage: Eukaryota; Metazoa; Arthropoda; Malacostraca; Decapoda; Portunidae.
GCCAGCGCCAUCUACAAAGUAUAAAAUUAUCCGCCGUGAGUGAAUUCGUAGUCACUUCAGGUCUGCCUUUUGCCCCGUUGACGUGGUGUGCUAGAGGCUAAGUCACAAUGGCUGCGGAUCUCAGUGCUCGCGACGUUGAGAGGGCGAAAUUCGCCUUCUCAAUCUAUGACUUCGAGGGCAAGGGCACCAUGGACGCCUUCUACGUUGGCGACUGCCUGCGCGCCCUGAACCUGAACCCCACCCUGGCCGUCAUAGAGAAGGUCGGAGGCAAGACCAAGAAGAAGGAGAAGAUGCUCAAGGUCGACGACUUCCUGCCCAUUUUCGCUCAGGUCAAGAAGGACAAGGACGCCGGCUCCUUCGAGGACUUCAUGGAGGUGCUGAAGCUGUACGACAAGACUGAGAACGGCACCAUGCUGUAUGCUGAGCUUGAGCACAUUCUCCUUUCCCUCGGUGAGCGCCUGGAAAAGUCUGAACUGGAGCCCGUGCUGAAGGACUGCUGCGACGAGGAGGACGAAGAUGGCUUUAUUCCUUAUGAACGUAAGUCCCUUCUUCACUCACCUACCCCCCCUACACCCCAUCCACUCCCCCUUUCUCCAGUUCCCAUACGUGUCUCCCUCCCACGGUCCCCCACCCCUUCAUCGCCUCCUUCACCGCCUCCUGCAGUCCUUCCUUCCCUCUUAUUGCACUAAGCCAACGUUCCUUUACAGCUUUCCUUCAGAAACUCUGCAAAGAUGUCAAGUAAACACCCAAAGUAUCUAUGCCCUUCCUAAAGAGAGUUUUGGCCUUCAAAAUCUAAGAGGAUGAGUCCACUUUCCUGAAGAAGAUGACUGCCAUGCUCUAAAAAUCCGUUCUCCAUCUUCAAGUUUUGACGUCAGUACGGGAGUGCGCAUGCGUACAACACCAUCGUCAUUCGGAGUGUCAUUGCAGUGUACAAUCAUUCUGUGAGCACAGCUAAACCACAGACAUUUUGAUUAGUUAUACUUACAUGUAAAAAAAAAUAACAUAAAAAAAAAACAAGAUGAAGAAGAAUAUCGAAUCUCGAGUUAACAACAAGCGAACGCGCAGUCGUAAUAAUAAUAAAUAAAUAAUACUAUUAAUUAAUAACAAUAAUAAUUCUUUGUCGUGCAUUACAUAUUAAUUUCUCAAAGCACAAGAGGCACCACCCGAUACAUGCUCAUUUUGUCCUUCUGUCUCUGUGUGUAUGUGAGUGAGCGCGUGCGUGUGUGUGUGCGAGUGCGUCCGUGUAGCAGCGUGAAGGUCCCAUGGAUCUUUGAAGCGUCUUCUUUUCAUCCACGCUGGGCCUCGGGGGAGUAGGGGUAGUAGGCACUAGGCACGGGUUGUGUGUUCAUUGAUGACCAGACCUGAAGUGACCAUUGUGAUCCGCAUAGCUCGCCCGCCCAACGCCAUCUCGCGGUGGGCAGCUGAACAUGCCAUUCAAGUACCCAGCGCAGCCCCGCCCACCACCUGAAGCUCUCCAUCAGGGGCGCCUUAUCGGUACCGCCACUCCCGAGCCUCCCUGCCUACCCUGCCUCCCCUACACGCCCAAGAGAGCCUCUGACACACUCGAGGAGGUGACCAGGGGGAGUGUCACAGUCAGCCAGUCAGACGAUCGGUAACAAGGCCCCACUUCAGUCAUCAGUCAGUCAGUCAGUCAGUCCGCCCUGAACGGCAUCAUCUACUAACUGCUGUCUGUAGGCACAUUGGUUAAGUUCUCUAUCGUCUCAAUAAAAGAAAAACAUCUUGA